Branchiostoma floridae (Florida lancelet) is the source of this 601-nucleotide long non-coding RNA. RefSeq lists it as uncharacterized. Lineage: Eukaryota; Metazoa; Chordata; Leptocardii; Amphioxiformes; Branchiostomatidae. The transcript is spliced from 2 exons. The record is from RefSeq and is a predicted model, not a curated record.
GUUUUUUGAUUUAUCGCGGCGGCAGUGUGUUGGGAGGUUGAAAUGCGAGACGCCGCUGGUACAAGGUAUCUCUUCUCCUCUACUGCAGUGCAAACCCUCUUCGUUGGACACAACGUGAUGCAGCAGAAGUGCCCGGAUGUUCAAGUCCAAAAGAGGACCCGGAUGUAGUCGUUCCAAGUCUCAAACCUUGGAGCGAAUGGUGUUGCCAAAAGGAGUUUCCUUUAACACAUAGGAAACCAUAUGAUAUUUAUAGGGGUAUAAACAGAGAUUUUACUGAAACAGAGUAAAACCUCUAUUUGUAUAUCUAUCUGUUCAUCUUUCUUUAAAUGUAUAUACAUUCAUACAAUUGCAAACAUAGCUAAGUUUGAAUUUACCAUAUAUAUGUAUAUUUAUCGACAGAGCACAUUGAGAGACAUCUAUGUCUCUCUCUCUGUCUAUGAAGGCCAGUGUUUUAACCUUAAAGUCAAAGGUAUGGCUUUGAACAUGCUAGAACAUAAGCCAUACCUUACUCACUACUGUACCUUUUGAUAUCUCUAAAUCUGUCUGUGUGUUUGCUUGUUUGUUUGUCGUAUUAAUAAACACAUGACAUGAUCUUCUUGUA